Long non-coding RNA from Cyanistes caeruleus (blue tit), 745 nucleotides. RefSeq lists it as uncharacterized. The record is from RefSeq and is a predicted model, not a curated record. Lineage: Eukaryota; Metazoa; Chordata; Aves; Passeriformes; Paridae.
GGUGUCAAAGAUGCUCAGCUUUGUUGUUGUCCCCACUUGGUUUUGCUCCCAGAUGGGGAAGGGCUCUCCAGGACACAGCUGGAAUCUGGCAAGCAAAUCUCAUCCCAGCAGCUGUGAGCCUCCUUCAGGCUCUGGAUUGAUCAGAGAGGCACAACCACAGAGCUGUGCCUCUGGCUCUCACACAGGGAAUUUUGGAUGCUGAGAGACCUGACCACUCAGGUGGAGGUAGCAGGGACCCUCAGUCCUGGAGGUACCAGCAGAGCUGUGACAUGGGACCGAAAUCCCCCUGGGCUACCUGCAGUCUCUGGAGACUUCCUGAAGAAGCUACUGCUCUUCUUUUUGGGUCUGUCAUCCUGACAGCUGUCCCCAGGGAGAUCUCAAAACCAAGACCCCAGCACGGCAGAGUGCCACAGAAACACACACCACUGUGCUCUGGCAAACCUCAGCCUUCUCCAGCCCUCCUCACCAAACGAUGGGGACACAGCCUUGCUCUUCCCCCUCUCUUUCUUCCUUUGUUCCAUCCUCUCAAUCAGGCUCUGGCUCAGAAAGGUUUCAUUGCACAACAGCUACACUGGCCUUAGAAAGAUGCAAUUAAGAUGAAACCCACUUAUUUAAAGCAGCUCCUCUCCCAGCACUGCUCUAAUGUCACCUUUGAUCACUGAAACCAACCCAGCUCACAGACUGCCAGGGACAUGUCCUUUCAUUUCUCCCUUCCCUCCUUGCUCCAUUCAGACAAAACUGGUUU